Molecule: ribosomal RNA, 445 nt
Filed under: uncultured bacterium
Lineage: Bacteria
Description: partial 16S ribosomal RNA
Rfam family: Bacterial small subunit ribosomal RNA
Source: RNAcentral
GUGAGGAAUAUUGGACAAUGGAUGGAAAUCUGAUCCAGCCAUGCCGCGUGCAGGAAGACGGCCCUAUGGGUUGUAAACUGCUUUUAUACGGGAGCAAUAAGGUCUAUGCAUAGAUUGAUGAGAGUACCGUAUGAAUAAGCAUCGGCUAACUCUGUGCCAGCAGCCGCGGUAAUACGGAGGAUGCGAGCGUUAUCCGGAUUUAUUGGGAUUAAAGGGUGCGUAGGCGGCUUUGUAAGUCAGCGGUGAAAUUUUGCAGCUUAACUGUAAAAGCGCCGUUGAUACUGUGAAGCUAGGAUUUGGUUGCUGUGGGCGGAAUGUGUGGUGUAGCGGUGAAAUGCAUAGAGAUCACAUAGAAUAUCGAUUGCGAAGGCAGCUCACAAAGCCAAUAUUGACGCUGAGGCACGAAAGUGUGGGGAUCAAACAGGAUUAGAAACCCGAGUAGUCC